GGGCGCCCUCGUCUUCCUUGAACAGGAGCAGCCCCCGUCGCCUCGCGCCUCCCUGCUGUUUGUCUCCCCGUCGGGCGGCGGGCAGGGAGGUCUGGAAAGCCUUCAGGAUAAGCACAGCGGGAACACUGCGCUUUCACCCGGAGGAGGCCACACACGGAGACGGGACGCGGAGACCCACACACACACACACACACACACACACUCACACACGCAGAUACGUGCAAACAAAAAGAAAUCUCCAUUCAGUCCAUCUUUCAACAUGAAGCAAACACACGGCAAACAUUGCAAAAUCCGUGCUUGGCUGGCGUGGCCACAGCGCCUGCAGACGGGCAUCAACGCGGAUGCAGGCGUUAACUCCUUGUGUGCCGCCUGGCGGUUUAUUCCUCACACGAAUGGAGAAGCUGGGUUUUGUGAAAGCCCCUAGAGCAAUCAAAUGUGAUGGUGGACAGAGUGUGCGAUUAAGGGAGAGAAGCAGAACACUUCAAAUAACAUUUUAAAGGACGCCUGCAUUUGAAAUGAGGAGAGAAUACUCGCUUCCAAAUGCUGCGUCUGAGCACCGCUGGCAGGCACAUCAGCGAUGGAGACAGAUGCCAGCAGCCAGCCAGACCCCCAUGGCAGGGCUGCAUCUAAAGUGGAUCCAGUGUGCAGGUGCCUGAGCUCCAGGUCCCCGGUGAGCAGCUGCCCGAGCUCCAGCUCAGCUGUGGUCUGAGAUCACUUCAUGUGAUUUAAAUGAAAGAAGAGGGCAUGAAGGCUGAGGCAGACGGAUUACACCACAGAGGGGGCCACUGGCUGCUCCAGAUGAAGGUGAGAACAACGCAAGGUUCCCGCCAAAAUGCCCCGGGAAGAAAUUCCCUUCAGAGCCUGAAUCUGGCAAAAACUCCAACACCGUGUUAAUCGCCAUAGCUGGUUAAUCGCCAUAGCUGGAUUCGAUCAUCUGCCCUGGAAAUACACGGGAGGCAGCUGGCUCGGGCACAGCUUUAAAAGUAGAAGUGGUGCACACUGAUCUUAAGUCCUAACUUCGAGUUACUGUGAGACCUCGCAGAAUCUGUGUGCUUUCCUUCCCCAAAUAUGUAAAUGAUAUUUUAACAUGUAUGUGGAUGAAUUUGGCCUGAGAGCUACCUGGAAGAGAGGCGUAUGUUUUACUUUUAGAUAAUUAUUAAUGUUUUGUCAAAUAAUUCUAUUAACACAAUUUCUAGAUAAAUAUUUUGUAAUAAAGACAAGGGGGGGCCGGCCUGGUGGCAUAGUGUUUAAUUUCGUGUGCUCUGCCUUGGUGGCUCAGGGUUUGCGGUUCAGAUCCCUGGCGCGGACCUGCACACCGCUCAUCAGGCCAUGCUGUGCCGCAUACAAAGUAGAGGAAGACUGGCACAUAUGUUACCUCAAGGACAAUCUUCCUCAAGCAAAAAAAAAAAAAGACAAGGAAUAAAUUUAUAUUUUCUCCUUUGCCUCUCAGAAAUUCUCUUUGCUUUGCCAAAUAAAAUAGAAUAUAAUUUUUAAGCAAAAAA
This 1502-nucleotide long non-coding RNA is filed under the name Equus asinus (donkey). Its description in RNAcentral is "lncRNA (ENSEASG00005036919.1)". Lineage: Eukaryota; Metazoa; Chordata; Mammalia; Perissodactyla; Equidae. The record is from RNAcentral.